This 440-nucleotide ribosomal RNA is filed under the name uncultured bacterium. RNAcentral's name for it is "partial 16S ribosomal RNA". It matches the Rfam family "Bacterial small subunit ribosomal RNA", at positions 338 to 795 of the family's 1533-position model. The record is from RNAcentral.
CCUACGGGUGGCAGCAGUAGGGAAUAUUCCGCAAUGGGGGAAACCCUGAAGCAGCAACGCCGCGUGGAGGAUGAAGGUUUUCGGGUUGGUAACUCCUUUUGUAAGAGGAGAUAAUGACGGUAUCAAACGAAUUAGCACCGGCGAACUCCGUGUCAGCAGCUGCGGUAAUCCGGGGGGGGCAAGCGUUACUCGGAAUCACUGGGCGUAAAGAGCGCGUAGGCGGGAUAGUAAGUCAGAUGUGAAAUCCUAUGGCUUAACAAGAGGACUGCAUUUGAAACUGUUAGUCUAGAGUAUGGGAGAGGAAGGUGGAAUUCUUGGUGUAGGGGUGAAAUGCGUAGAGAUCAAGAGGAAUACUCAUUGCGAAGGCGACCUGCUAGAACAUACCUGACGCUGAUGCGCGAAAGCGUGGGGAGCGAACAGGAUUAGAUACCCGAGUAGUC